This 2688-nucleotide ribosomal RNA is filed under the name Escherichia coli B93. Its description in RNAcentral is "bacterial LSU rRNA". It matches the Rfam family "Bacterial large subunit ribosomal RNA". The record is from RNAcentral. Lineage: Bacteria; Pseudomonadati; Pseudomonadota; Gammaproteobacteria; Enterobacterales; Enterobacteriaceae.
AGCGUACACGGUGGAUGCCCUGGCAGUCAGAGGCGAUGAAGGACGUGCUAAUCUGCGAUAAGCGUCGGUAAGGUGAUAUGAACCGUUAUAACCGGCGAUUUCCGAAUGGGGAAACCCAGUGUGAUUCGUCACACUAUCAUUAACUGAAUCCAUAGGUUAAUGAGGCGAACCGGGGGAACUGAAACAUCUAAGUACCCCGAGGAAAAGAAAUCAACCGAGAUUCCCCCAGUAGCGGCGAGCGAACGGGGAGCAGCCCAGAGCCUGAAUCAGUGUGUGUGUUAGUGGAAGCGUCUGGAAAGGCGCGCGAUACAGGGUGACAGCCCCGUACACAAAAAUGCACAUACUGUGAGCUCGAUGAGUAGGGCGGGACACGUGGUAUCCUGUCUGAAUAUGGGGGGACCAUCCUCCAAGGCUAAAUACUCCUGACUGACCGAUAGUGAACCAGUACCGUGAGGGAAAGGCGAAAAGAACCCCGGCGAGGGGAGUGAAAAAGAACCUGAAACCGUGUACGUACAAGCAGUGGGAGCACAGAGCAAUCUGUGUGACUGCGUACCUUUUGUAUAAUGGGUCAGCGACUUAUAUUCUGUAGCAAGGUUAACCGAAUAGGGGAGCCGAAGGGAAACCGAGUCUUAACGGGCGUUAAGUUGCAGGGUAUAGACCCGAAACCCGGUGAUCUAGCCAUGGGCAGGUUGAAGGUUGGGUAACACUAACUGGAGGACCGAACCGACUAAUGUUGAAAAAUUAGCGGAUGACUUGUGGCUGGGGGUGAAAGGCCAAUCAAACCGGGAGAUAGCUGGUUCUCCCCGAAAGCUAUUUAGGUAGCGCCUCGUGAAUUCAUCUCCGGGGGUAGAGCACUGUUUCGGCAAGGGGGUCAUCCCGACUUACCAACCCGAUGCAAACUGCGAAUACCGGAGAAUGUUAUCACGGGAGACACACGGCGGGUGCUAACGUCCGUCGUGAAGAGGGAAACAACCCAGACCGCCAGCUAAGGUCCCAAAGUCAUGGUUAAGUGGGAAACGAUGUGGGAAGGCCCAGACAGCCAGGAUGUUGGCUUAGAAGCAGCCAUCAUUUAAAGAAAGCGUAAUAGCUCACUGGUCGAGUCGGCCUGCGCGGAAGAUGUAACGGGGCUAAACCAUGCACCGAAGCUGCGGCAGCGACACUGUGUGUUGUUGGGUAGGGGAGCGUUCUGUAAGCCUGUGAAGGUGUCUGUGAGGAUGCUGGAGGUAUCAGAAGUGCGAAUGCUGACAUAAGUAACGAUAAAGCGGGUGAAAAGCCCGCUCGCCGGAAGACCAAGGGUUCCUGUCCAACGUUAAUCGGGGCAGGGUGAGUCGACCCCUAAGGCGAGGCCGAAAGGCGUAGUCGAUGGGAAACAGGUUAAUAUUCCUGUACUUGGUGUUACUGCGAAGGGGGGACGGAGAAGGCUAUGUUGGCCGGGCGACGGUUGUCCCGGUUUAAGCGUGUAGGCUGGUUUUCCAGGCAAAUCCGGAAAAUCAAGGCUGAGGCGUGAUGACGAGGCACUACGGUGCUGAAGCAACAAAUGCCCUGCUUCCAGGAAAAGCCUCUAAGCAUCAGGUAACAUCAAAUCGUACCCCAAACCGACACAGGUGGUCAGGUAGAGAAUACCAAGGCGCUUGAGAGAACUCGGGUGAAGGAACUAGGCAAAAUGGUGCCGUAACUUCGGGAGAAGGCACGCUGAUAUGUAGGUGAAGUCCCUCGCGGAUGGAGCUGAAAUCAGUCGAAGAUACCAGCUGGCUGCAACUGUUUAUUAAAAACACAGCACUGUGCAAACACGAAAGUGGACGUAUAACGGUGUGACGCCUGCCCGGUGCCGGAAGGUUAAUUGAUGGGGUCAGCGCAAGCGAAGCUCUUGAUCGAAGCCCCGGUAAACGGCGGCCGUAACUAUAACGGUCCUAAGGUAGCGAAAUUCCUUGUCGGGUAAGUUCCGACCUGCACGAAUGGCGUAAUGAUGGCCAGGCUGUCUCCACCCGAGACUCAGUGAAAUUGAACUCGCUGUGAAGAUGCAGUGUACCCGCGGCAAGACGGAAAGACCCCGUGAACCUUUACUAUAGCUUGACACUGAACAUUGAGCCUUGAUGUGUAGGAUAGGUGGGAGGCUUUGAAGUGUGGACGCCAGUCUGCAUGGAGCCGACCUUGAAAUACCACCCUUUAAUGUUUGAUGUUCUAACGUGGACCCGUGAUCCGGGUUGCGGACAGUGUCUGGUGGGUAGUUUGACUGGGGCGGUCUCCUCCUAAAGAGUAACGGAGGAGCACGAAGGUUGGCUAAUCCUGGUCGGACAUCAGGAGGUUAGUGCAAUGGCAUAAGCCAGCUUGACUGCGAGCGUGACGGCGCGAGCAGGUGCGAAAGCAGGUCAUAGUGAUCCGGUGGUUCUGAAUGGAAGGGCCAUCGCUCAACGGAUAAAAGGUACUCCGGGGAUAACAGGCUGAUACCGCCCAAGAGUUCAUAUCGACGGCGGUGUUUGGCACCUCGAUGUCGGCUCAUCACAUCCUGGGGCUGAAGUAGGUCCCAAGGGUAUGGCUGUUCGCCAUUUAAAGUGGUACGCGAGCUGGGUUUAGAACGUCGUGAGACAGUUCGGUCCCUAUCUGCCGUGGGCGCUGGAGAACUGAGGGGGGCUGCUCCUAGUACGAGAGGACCGGAGUGGACGCAUCACUGGUGUUCGGGUUGUCAUG